CGAAAUAGCUCAAUUGGUAGAGCAACUGAUUUGUAAUCAGUAGGUUACGGGUUCGAUUCCUGUUUUCGGC
Molecule: transfer RNA, 70 nt
Filed under: human gut metagenome
Also listed under: 1 other name
Rfam family: tRNA
About the family: Transfer RNA (tRNA) molecules are approximately 80 nucleotides in length.
Source: RNAcentral